UGAAUACAUAGGUUAACGAGGCGAACCGGGGGAACUGAAACAUCUAAGUACCCCGAGGAAAAGAAAUCAACCGAGAUUCCCCCAGUAGCGGCGAGCGAACGGGGAGCAGCCCAGAGGCUGAAUCAGCUUGUGUGUUAGUGGAACGGUCUGGAAAGUCCGACGGGACAGGGUGAUAGUCCCGUACACCAAAAUGCACAGGUUGUGAACUCGAAGAGUAGGGCGGGACACGUGGUAUCCUGUCUGAAUAUGGGGGGACCAUCCUCCAAGGCUAAAUACUCCUGACUGACCGAUAGUGAACCAGUACCGUGAGGGAAAGGCGAAAAGAACCCCGGCGAGGGGAGUGAAAAAGAACCUGAAACCGUGUACGUACAAGCAGUGGGAGCACCUUCGGGUGUGACUGCGUACCUUUUGUAUAAUGGGUCAGCGACUUAUAUUCUGUAGCAAGGUUAACCGUAUAGGGGAGCCGCAGGGAAACCGAGUCUUAACUGGGCGUUAAGUUGCAGGGUAUAGACCCGAAACCCGGUGAUCUAGCCAUGGGCAGGUUGAAGGUUGGGUAACACUAACUGGAGGACCGAACCGACUAAUGUUGAAAAA
RNAcentral lists this ribosomal RNA (594 nucleotides) under Klebsiella variicola. RNAcentral describes it as "partial 23S ribosomal RNA". It matches the Rfam family "Bacterial large subunit ribosomal RNA", at positions 159 to 796 of the family's 2925-position model. The record is from RNAcentral. Lineage: Bacteria; Pseudomonadati; Pseudomonadota; Gammaproteobacteria; Enterobacterales; Enterobacteriaceae.